RNAcentral lists this ribosomal RNA (478 nucleotides) under uncultured bacterium. RNAcentral describes it as "partial 16S ribosomal RNA". It matches the Rfam family "Bacterial small subunit ribosomal RNA", at positions 28 to 523 of the family's 1533-position model. The record is from RNAcentral.
GACGAACGCUGGCGGCGUGCUUAACACAUGCAAGACGAGCGAUGAAGCUCCUUCGGGAGUGGAUUAGCGGCGGACGGGUGAGUAACACGUGGGUAACCUGCCUCAUAGAGGGGAAUAGCCUUUCGAAAGGAAGAUUAAUACCGCAUAAGAUUGUAGUUUCGCAUGAAACAGCAAUUAAAGGAGUAAUCCGCUAUGAGAUGGACCCGCGUCGCAUUAGCUAGUUGGUGAGGUAACGGCUCACCAAGGCGACGAUGCGUAGCCGACCUGAGAGGGUGAUCGGCCACAUUGGGACUGAGACACGGCCCAGACUCCUACGGGAGGCAGCAGUGGGGAAUAUUGCACAAUGGGGGAAACCCUGAUGCAGCAACGCCGCGUGAGUGAUGACGGUCUUCGGAUUGUAAAACUCUGUCUUCAGGGACGAUAAUGACGGUACCUGAGGAGGAAGCCACGGCUAACUACGUGCCAGCCGCCGCGGUAA